UACGUAGGGGGCAAGCGUUGUCCGGAAUCAUUGGGCGUAAAGCGCGUGUAGGCGGCUCGAUAAGUCUGCUGUGAAAGUCCAGGGCUCAACCCUGGAAUGCCGGUGGAAACUGUCGAGCUUGAGUCCGGAAGAGGCGAGUGGAAUUCCUGGUGUAGCGGUGAAAUGCGCAGAUAUCAGGAGGAACACCAAUGGCGAAGGCAGCUCGCUGGGACGGUACUGACGCUGAGACGCGAAAGCGUGGGGAGCAAGCCGG
Molecule: ribosomal RNA, 253 nt
Filed under: uncultured bacterium
Lineage: Bacteria
Description: partial 16S ribosomal RNA
Rfam family: Bacterial small subunit ribosomal RNA
Source: RNAcentral